GACGAACGCUGGCGGCGUGCUUAACACAUGCAAGUCGAACGGAAAGGCCAUGCUUUUGUGGGGUGCUCGAGUGGCGAACGGGUGAGUAACACGUGAGUAACCCGCCCUUGACUUUGGGAUAACUUCAGGAAACUGGGGCUAUUAUCGGAUAGGAUCUCCUGCUGCAUGGGGGGGGUUGGAAAGUUUCGGCGGUUGUGGAUGGACUCGCGGCUUAUCAGCUGGUUUGUGGGGUAGUGGCUUACGAAGGCUUUGACGGGUAGCCGGCCUGAGAGGGUGGACGGCCACAUGGGGACUGAGAUACGGACCAGAAUCCUACGGGAGGCAGAAGUGGGAAAUAUGGCACAGUGGGCGGAAGCCUGAUGCAGAAACGCCGCGUGCGGGAUGACGGCCUACGGGUUGUAAACCGCUUUCGCCGGUGACGAAGCGUGAGUGACGGUAAUGGGUAAAGAAGCACCGGCUAACUACGUG
Molecule: ribosomal RNA, 468 nt
Filed under: uncultured bacterium
Lineage: Bacteria
Description: partial 16S ribosomal RNA
Rfam family: Bacterial small subunit ribosomal RNA
Source: RNAcentral